GCCCGGCUAGCUCAGUCGGUAGAGCACAUAACUCUUAAUAUCGGGGUCGUGGGUUUGUGCCCCACGUUGGGCG
Molecule: non-coding RNA, 73 nt
Organism: Trichonephila clavipes
Lineage: Eukaryota; Metazoa; Arthropoda; Arachnida; Araneae; Nephilidae
Source: the annotation of a GenBank genome assembly